RNAcentral lists this ribosomal RNA (226 nucleotides) under uncultured bacterium. RNAcentral's name for it is "partial 16S ribosomal RNA". It matches the Rfam family "Bacterial small subunit ribosomal RNA", at positions 356 to 574 of the family's 1533-position model. The record is from RNAcentral.
AGGGAAUCUUCCACAAUGGACGCAAGUCUGAUGGAGCAACGCCGCGUGAGUGAAGAAGGUUUUCGGACCGUAAAGCUCUGUUGUUGGUGAAGAAGGAUAGAGGUAGUAACUGGCCUUUAUUUGACGGUAAUCAACCAGAAAGUCACGGCUAACUACGUGCCAGCAGCCGCGGUAAUACGUAGGUGGCAAGCGUUGUCCGGAUUUAUUGGGCUAGUAAAGCGAGCAG